UUGGUUUUUCGAUGGACAUCUCAUUUCCCGUCAAUUCAUACAAUGGGUUAUUUCGAGUACGCACUCCCGCGAACCUCAUAUCUUAUGGUGGAAUUGCCAAAUCAGGCUAAAUUCCCCGUAAUACAAACUCAUAGAGUAAAUGUCGGGAUUACCAGUUCAAGCUAAAUUCCCUUACAACAACAUAUACUCUAAUGAGCUCAGAUCUGAAUUACCAGUCUAGGCUAAAUUCAGACCCUACUUCGGAUUACCCGUCCGGGUUAAAUCCUUAAGGCACACAUAUUCUUCGGAAGGCUAGAUCACUUUAAGAUCACCUGUCCGGGCUAGAUCCUUGUCACCGUCAAUUCAUUUUCGAGAUGUUCCAUCGAGUAACCC
This 372-nucleotide long non-coding RNA is filed under the name Gossypium barbadense (sea-island cotton). RNAcentral's name for it is "long non-coding RNA (GBAR_LNC006815)". Lineage: Eukaryota; Viridiplantae; Streptophyta; Magnoliopsida; Malvales; Malvaceae. The record is from RNAcentral.